RNAcentral lists this long non-coding RNA (301 nucleotides) under Nicotiana benthamiana. RNAcentral's name for it is "long non-coding RNA (NBEN_LNC026541)". Lineage: Eukaryota; Viridiplantae; Streptophyta; Magnoliopsida; Solanales; Solanaceae. The record is from RNAcentral.
UCAUUUGUAAUUCAUCAAGCAAACAAUUCAAGUUCUCUCUAAUACAAAGCUUCCUUUAGGAAUUCUCUUGUGUUUUUUCUAGCAUUCCCUUAGUGAUAUUGAGUAUAGUAAGGCUGACUUGGCAUAGUAAGAACGUGAACAAGUUGUGCAAGAUCGUGAGUGAGUUGUCAAGUGCCACAUGUGUACUUAGUUAAUCACUAACGAUGUGACAACGUGGUAUCAGUGCAAAGGUUGCAACUAAAGGAAAUGGCGAACGACGGAGAAAUCAACAUUGCCAACACCCAAGCCAAAAUUAUCCACG